GCAGAACUGUGGCUCAGACAGUGGCUUUAAUUGUUGUGUUGGACAUUAGCAGCUGACUAGUGAGUCAGUCCGUAUGGCGUGCAUGUGCUGCUCUAUUCUGGGUAGAAAGCCACAAGCAAGUCAGAGGAAAAGCUGGUAUUACAAUUCUGAGACCUGGAAGACACUUCAGACUUCACAAGCCUAAGCCUGCUACACAUUUGUUUGUAAUUGUUCCCUGCAGAGGUGAUAAAACGAUGCACGUUUUGUUAACAAAAUGACAAUGGCAAUGACUACUCCAGUAGCCCAGAUUGGCUCCUCCAAACAAGUCAAGAAGUGAAGGGAGCUUGGGUAUUCAAAAACAAUUGCAGCAAAUAAAAUGUUAAUGUAUUUCGAAA
Molecule: long non-coding RNA, 374 nt
Organism: Bombina bombina (fire-bellied toad)
Lineage: Eukaryota; Metazoa; Chordata; Amphibia; Anura; Bombinatoridae
Exons: 2
Source: RefSeq, a predicted model, not a curated record